RNAcentral lists this ribosomal RNA (387 nucleotides) under Strophurus elderi (jewelled gecko). RNAcentral describes it as "partial 16S ribosomal RNA". It matches the Rfam family "Bacterial large subunit ribosomal RNA", at positions 1967 to 2564 of the family's 2925-position model. Lineage: Eukaryota; Metazoa; Chordata; Lepidosauria; Squamata; Diplodactylidae. The record is from RNAcentral.
AUUUGUCCCCUAAAUAGGGACUUGUAUGAAUGGCUAACUGAGGUUCUAACUGUCUCAUUAGAUCAAUCAAUGAAACUGAUCUCCCAGUACAAAAGCUGAGAUAAACCCAUAAGACGAGAAGACCCUGUGGAGCUUUAAAUACAUACUAUAAACACCCCGCCAACCUUUUUAGUUGGGGCGACUUUGGAACAAAACAAAACUUCCAUGCCAGGUCCCUAUAAAGGCCUACGCGCCAAAAUAACUCCUUAUUGAUCCAGCUCACUCUAAGCUGACCAACGAACCAAGUUACCCCAGGGAUAACAGCGCUAUCCUCUUCAAGAGUCCCUAUCGACAAGAGGGUUUACGACCUCGAUGUUGGAUCAGGACACCCCGGUGGUGCAACCGCUA